GGCAUGCCUAACACAUGUCAAAUACGAACGGAAACGACGAAAACAAUCCCUUCGGGGUGAGUGGCGCACGGGUGCGUAACGCGUGGGAACCUGCCCUUAGGUUUGGAAUAACAGUGAGAAAUCGCUGCUAAUACCAAAUAAUGUCUUCGGACCAAAGAUUUAUCGCCUUUGGAUGGGCCCGCGUAGGAUUAGCUAGUUGGUGGGGUAAAGGCUCACCAAGGCGACGAUCCUUAGCUGGUCUUAGAGGAUGAUCAGCCACACUGGGACUGAGACACGGCCCAGACUCCUACGGGAGGCAGCAGUGGGGAAUAUUGGACAAUGGGCGAAAGCCUGAUCCAGCAAUGCCGCGUGAGUGAUGAAGGCCUUAGGGUUGUAAAGCUCUUUUACCAGGGAUGAUAAUGACAGUACCUGGAGAAUAAGCUCCGGCUAACUCCGUGCCAGCAGCCGCGGUAAAACGGAGGGGGCAAGCGUUAUUCGGAAUUACUGGGCGUAAAGGGCGCGUAGGCGGCGUGGUAUGUCGAAGGUGAAAUCCCUCGGCCCAACCGAGGAACUGCCUUCGAAACUGCCAUGCUAA
RNAcentral lists this ribosomal RNA (574 nucleotides) under uncultured Alphaproteobacteria bacterium. RNAcentral's name for it is "bacterial SSU rRNA". It matches the Rfam family "Bacterial small subunit ribosomal RNA", at positions 41 to 644 of the family's 1533-position model. The record is from RNAcentral. Lineage: Bacteria; Pseudomonadati; Pseudomonadota; Alphaproteobacteria.